This is a non-coding RNA of Macaca mulatta (Rhesus monkey), 779 nucleotides long. NCBI's taxonomy places the organism in Eukaryota, Metazoa, Chordata, Mammalia, Primates, Cercopithecidae. The record is from RefSeq and is a predicted model, not a curated record.
UGGAUGGAGCUUCCCAUGCCUGGCGGUGACUCACUGUCUCCACAUUACACAUACCUAUUUAUACACAAACACACCACAAGUGUGCCCAUGUGACAUUGCCCACUCCCCACAUACCCAAACACACACACAGUCUAUACACCACACAUCCUGAGUUACAAAAGGCACAGCCCUCCUCAAACACGCAUCCAUCCUGUAGCACACACCCAGUGCAUGGCUCGCCCCCACACACACCUGACACCCCAAUGCAACACCACACCCACCCUCCCCUCCAACUGCAAACUCCCACCUCCGCCCACCUGCUUAAUACACGUUCUCACCCCCCCACACACUCCUUAAUACAUACUCUCACACCCACAAGCCUGCCUUCUUGGAGAAGCGAGCCAAGCCGUGCGGCGCCGCGAAGGGCAUCCCCGAAGACCAGGAGGAACGCCACGGGGACCUGUGGCUUAGCGCGCUCCGCCCGGGCUUGUCUGCCCGCGGGGGCGCAGCGGCUGCGGCGGUUCCGGCCGGAGUUACAAUCCAGCGCCACCCAACUCCCAGUCGGGGGCCGAGGCCAGCGCCGGGAUGCAUGGAGCCGGGGGAAAAGCCCGCGGCGGCCCCGGCGGAUCACAGACCCUAACGGGGCGGGAGGUGGCGCCCCAGCCCCAACCUCUGUAGCCAACCCAGUGGGUGGGAAGUGCCCAUACCCCAGGCCUUCCGGAAAGUGCUCUCUCCUUGUAUUAUUCUAAUUACGGUAUUUUUAAUUUCCUUAAAAAAAUAAGAAACAGAAAAGCACAGAA